AGAGUUUGAUCCUGGAUCAGGAUGAACGCUGGCGGCGUGCUUAACACAUGCAAGUCGAACGAACCUUCGGGUUAGUGGCGGACGGGUGAGUAACGCGUGAGAAUCUGCCCUCAGGAGGGGGAUAACAGUUGGAAACGACUGCUAAUACCCCAUAUGCCGAGAGGUGAAAUGAAUUUCGCCUGGGGAUGAGCUCGCGUCUGAUUAGCUUGUUGGUGGGGUAAUAGCCUACCAAGGCUUCGAUCAGUAGCUGGUCUGAGAGGACGAUCAGCCACACUGGGACUGAGACACGGCCCAGACUCCUACGGGAGGCAGCAGUGGGGAAUUUUCCGCAAUGGGCGAAAGCCUGACGGAGCAACGCCGCGUGAGGGAUGGAGGCCUUUGGGCUGUAAACCUCUUUUCUCAAGGAAGAAGAUCUGACGGUACUUGAGGAAUAAGCCACGGCUAAUUCCGUGCCAGCAGCCGCGGUAAUACGGGAGUGGCAAGCGUUAUCCGGAAUUAUUGGGCGUAAAGCGUCCGCAGGCGGCCGUUUAAGUCUGUUGUUAAAUCGUGGAGCUCAACUCCAUCACGGCAAUGGAAACUGUUCGGCUUGAGUAUGGUAGGGGCAGAGGGAAUUUCCGGUGUAGCGGUGAAAUGCGUAGAUAUCGGGAAGAACACCAGUGGCGAAAGCGCUCUGCUGGGCCAUUACUGACGCUCAUGGACGAAAGCCAGGGGAGCGAAAGGGAUUAGAUACCCCUGUAGUCCUGGCCGUAAACGAUGAACACUAGAUGUUGGGGGAAUCGACCCCCUCGGUGUCGUAGCUAACGCGUUAAGUGUUCCGCCUGGGGAGUACGCACGCAAGUGUGAAACUCAAAGGAAUUGACGGGGGCCCGCACAAGCGGUGGAGUAUGUGGUUUAAUUCGAUGCAACGCGAAGAACCUUACCAAGGCUUGACAUCCUGCGAAUCUCUAAGAAAUUAGAGAGUGCCUUCGGGAACGCAGUGACAGGUGGUGCAUGGCUGUCGUCCGCUCGUGUCGUGAGAUGUUGGGUUAAGUCCCGCAACGAGCGCAACCCACGUUUUUAGUUGCCAGCAUUCAGUUGGGCACUCUAGAAAGACUGCCGGUGACAAACCGGAGGAAGGUGUGGACGACGUCAAGUCAUCAUGCCCCUUACGCCUUGGGCUACACACGUACUACAAUGCUGCGGACAAAGAGUAGCGAUCUUGCGAAAGUUAGCUAAUCUCAUAAACCGUGGCUCAGUUCAGAUCGUAGGCUGCGACUCGCCUACGUGAAGGAGGAAUCGCUAGUAAUCGCAGGUCAGCAUACUGCGGUGAAUACGUUCCCGGGCCUUGUACACACCGCCCGUCACACCAUGGAAGUUGGCCAUGCCCGAAGUCGUUACUCUAACCUUUUGGAAGAGGGCGCCGAAGGCAGGGCUAAUGACUGGGGUGAAGUCGUAACAAGGUAACC
This 1445-nucleotide ribosomal RNA is filed under the name uncultured bacterium. RNAcentral describes it as "bacterial SSU rRNA". It matches the Rfam family "Bacterial small subunit ribosomal RNA". The record is from RNAcentral.